UCUAGGUUUAACUUAACUCAUAUCUGGCCUUCUAGCUUCGCCUCAAAGUUGAGGCUAGCACACUCUGAUAGUAAAGAAAGAAACAUAUACUGUAUAUCGAUAAUUCCAAAUCUUAACCCUGACUACCACCGGAUGUUUAAUUCGUUCCUUUUUUCAGUAUCAUACUGCUUCAUUGCUAGCUCUCGGCGCGCCGGUUCUUCGAUCUCGGGCACAAACCCACCUUCAUCCUUCAAGACUUAAAGCUUUUGCUCGCUACCAAAUCAUGCUAUCAAGGAAUUGCCGUAAUCGUUGCUUGGGAUUUAAUUGAGUUUGAUUUUCAGGUAAUGAAUUUCUCCUGCUGCCUGCUGGUACCAUCGAAGUAAGCUCCAUUUUGGGGGAAAAAUAACUCCUCUGUUGAAGCUUCAAUUCUGAGAAAGUUGUUGCGUUCCAUUGUGUGGUUGCGGUGUACUUCUGUUAUCCAGUACCGUUCCAACCGAAAGCUAAAUUUCUUAGCUCUCAUCAUUUACAUAUAGGGAAUAGGCGUCGACUGAAAUGUCGAAUAAAAAUGAAAACUUCAAAAAAAUACAUGCCGACAAGAAGGCUAGGCGACACGAACUGUAUAAAAUGAUGCAAUCUGAUAAAAAGAGGCCCUCCUAACACGAGCACGAGCAAACAAGGCUCAAACAAGCAGGCGACAACUUGCUGCCUCCUCACUUAUUAAUAGUUCUGCUGACGUAUCAUCCUCUAUGAUUGCUAAUAGUUCAAGCGAGCAAUGUGCUCCUUUCAUGGGAUAUCCAAUUCUAUACGAAACAGGAUCAACAUCUAAUACAAAUCAUGAACAAUAUAACAAAGUAUCAGUAACAACCCAAGUGUCACCUGAAUAUAUUAUGUUAAAGACAGCUCCCAAAUGUAAAUUUUGCGAAGCCAAAAAAUUUGAAUACGAGUCGCCCGCAUUCUGUUAUCGCAAUGGCACUGUUAAGCUAAGUUCACACCAAAUACCAACAAAGUUAAGAAAUCUAUAUCUAGGAAAUACUGAGGAAUCAAAGCAUUUUCGAACCUACAUAAGAACAUACAAUAAUAUGUUUGCAUUCACAUCCUUGGGUGUAACAUAUGAUAGAAAAUUGGCGAAGAGAAACAAAGAUAUUUACACCUUUCGUGUUCAAGGACAGAUGUAUCAUUUCAUAAAUGACUUGAUACCAAGUAAUGAAAAAAGAAGAAACCUACAAUUAUAUUUCUUUGAUAGUGAAAAUGAAAUGAGAAAUCGAAUGACAUGUUCCGAUAAAUUGAACGAGUGUACUGUGAAAAGUUUGAUGGAAAUAUUAAAAAUCAAUCCUUACUCUAUAUUUUUAAAAUCCUUAAUAAAUAUCCCACAAUUAUCAGAUUUUUAUAUUGCGCUUAAGUUUGACGCUGGUUUAGAUCAACGGAUAUAUAACCUCCCACCUACAUCAGAAGUGGCAGGGAUAUGGGUAGAACAAGAUACCAAUAAUUGUAUCCCUACUCCACAUAUUCGAAUUUACACAAAAGCGAUAGAAGCCAGCUGGUAAAUUAUUAUUACGGCUGUUAUGAACCAUUACAAUAUCCAUUAUUGUUCCCGUACGAACAAAAUGGUUGGCAUUGUGGUAUUAAAAAACUUAAGCCUCCAACAACUCCUAGAACACAAAUGUACUGUGAAUACGAACAAUUGCCAGCUUCUGCACCGCACCGGCCGCAUCUGCGAUCUCGUAGGUGCGAGAUUUCCUUCGCACCUGCGGCCUCUGAGCCCUUCACUUCUAACCGCUU
This is a long non-coding RNA of Nicotiana tabacum (common tobacco), 1758 nucleotides long. RefSeq lists it as uncharacterized. The record is from RefSeq and is a predicted model, not a curated record. NCBI's taxonomy places the organism in Eukaryota, Viridiplantae, Streptophyta, Magnoliopsida, Solanales, Solanaceae.